AAACUUAAAGGAAUUGACGGGGCCCGCACAAGCAGUGGAGUAUGUGGUUUAAUUCGAAGCAACGCGAAGAACCUUACCAGGGCUUGACAUCCCUUGAAGCAGCUAGAGAUAGCUGUGUCCUUCGGGACAAGGAGACAGGUGGUGCAUGGUUGUCGUCAGCUCGUGUCGUGAGAUGUUGGGUUAAGUCCCGCAACGAGCGCAACCCUCGACCUUAGUUGCCAGCAUUCAGUUGGGCACUCUAAGGUGACUGCCGGCUAAAAGUCGGAGGAAGGUGGGGAUGACGUCAAAUCAUCAUGCCCCUUAUGACCUGGGCUACACACGUGCUACAAUGGGCGGUACAAAGGGUCGCGAACCCGCGAGGGGGAGCCAAUCCCAAAAAGCCGCUCUCAGUUCGGAUUGCAGGCUGCAACUCGCCCUCAUGAAGCUGGAAUCCGUAGUAAUCGCGUUUCAACAGAACGCGGUGAAUACGUCCCUGCUCCUU
Molecule: ribosomal RNA, 481 nt
Filed under: uncultured Anoxybacillus sp.
Lineage: Bacteria; Bacillati; Bacillota; Bacilli; Caryophanales; Anoxybacillaceae
Description: bacterial SSU rRNA
Rfam family: Bacterial small subunit ribosomal RNA
Source: RNAcentral